AUCCUUCUAGUAUAAAAAAUAUAUUUGACUUCCAAUCAAAUGAUCUUUAAUUAAACCAAGGGGGGGAUA
RNAcentral lists this transfer RNA (69 nucleotides) under Palomena prasina (green shield bug). Its description in RNAcentral is "tRNA-Gly". RNAcentral also lists the same sequence under 1 other name. Lineage: Eukaryota; Metazoa; Arthropoda; Insecta; Hemiptera; Pentatomidae. The record is from RNAcentral.